Molecule: long non-coding RNA, 597 nt
Filed under: Coffea arabica (coffee)
Lineage: Eukaryota; Viridiplantae; Streptophyta; Magnoliopsida; Gentianales; Rubiaceae
Description: long non-coding RNA (CARA_LNC000891)
Source: RNAcentral
GAAGGAAAGCCAUAACUAAAUUGAUAUUGGUCCCCGCUCGCAGCUUAGCAAGUAGCAAAGCGAUGAUUCAUUAUUAUUAUUAGUAAUUAAUUCCAUGUUGCUGGACGAAAGUACCUAAACUAAUUAUGCACUCCGCGCAAUCAAAGAUGAAAAAACUCCCCAACGUCCCAAGAGCCAUGUAGCCAUCCAUGUACUCUACUCUGUAUCUCUGCUUUUGUGAGCGUUCGUGAAUGGAUUAAGGGCUCUAAUAUGCAUACACCUUAAAAUGAGUUCAGGUUCUUCCCCAUCUGUAAAGCCUAGAGCUACCUAGGACUCGUACUAUUAUUACUGCUUAGUUUGAUUCUAGGUAAUGCAACCAUGCUCCAACAGUGCAUUUGCUGCACCAUCAUGUGAGGAUUUUCCUUUUUAUUGGUUUUGCUGGACACACCAUUUUAGGUCUUUCUAAAAUCAGGGGCUGGCAAUGUAUGGUUUCGCAAUAUAUUCAAAUUGUUGAUUGAAAGAAUAUCAAGCCUUGAUCUUGUUAGCUUGCAUGUACUGCAUAUUGAGGAUGAGAACACACACACAAAGUAAAAAAGAAGGGAUGAGAAUUGAGAACAA